RNAcentral lists this unclassified non-coding RNA (279 nucleotides) under plant metagenome. Its description in RNAcentral is "partial contains small subunit ribosomal RNA, internal transcribed spacer 1, and 5.8S ribosomal RNA". The record is from RNAcentral.
UUUCCGUAGGUGAACCUGCGGAAGGAUCAUUAUUGCAUAACCGAGGUGCGAGGGCUGUCGCUGACCCGAAAGGUCGUGCACGCCCGAGUGCCCCUACACACAUCCAUCUCACCUCUCCGUACACCACUGCGUGGGCCUCCCUAAGGCAUGUUCGGUGAGGGGCUUAAGUUUUCACACAAACUAAAAAUGCCGAGUAGGAAGCACUUUGUGUUCUUGCGAACACGCAAUGCAUACAACUUGCAACAACGGAGUCCUUGGCUCUCGCACGGAUGAAGAACG